UGAAACAUAACAUGUUUGGACUUCAAACUUUACAUGAUUUUGCUGGAAACAUUUGACGGUUUAGAAUUAUUUUUCCCGCGAAAACGUAACAAAGUUAGUACAAACAUUGCAAACAAUACUGAAUUUGUCAAAACUCACAAAUUUACAGUAUGUUAGAACUUCACUAAGGCCUGUUUCAUACGUCGAAUUUAAUUCAGACGAAUUUAAUCACGGAUUUAGUGUUUGCAAGAUAAUUCCCGCCCAAUAUGAAUGUGUUUCUAAAUUUGGAAUAUUGACAGUUG
This is a non-coding RNA of Paramuricea clavata, 281 nucleotides long. The record is from the annotation of a GenBank genome assembly. NCBI's taxonomy places the organism in Eukaryota, Metazoa, Cnidaria, Anthozoa, Malacalcyonacea, Plexauridae.